RNAcentral lists this ribosomal RNA (467 nucleotides) under uncultured bacterium. RNAcentral describes it as "partial 16S ribosomal RNA". It matches the Rfam family "Bacterial small subunit ribosomal RNA", at positions 28 to 506 of the family's 1533-position model. The record is from RNAcentral.
GACGAACGCUGGCGGCGUACUUAACACAUGCAAGUCGAACGGAAAGACCCUGCUUUUGUGGGGUGCUCGAGUGGCGAACGGGUGAGUAACACGUGAGUAACCUGCCCUUGACUUUGGGAUAACUUCAGGAAACUGGGGCUAAUACCGGAUAGGAGCUCCUGCUGCAUGGUGGGGGUUGGAAAGUUUCGGCGGUUGGGGAUGGACUCGCGGCUUAUCAGCUUGUUGGUGGGGUAGUGGCUUACCAAGGCUUUGACGGGUAGCCGGCCUGAGAGGGUGACCGGCCACAUUGGGACUGAGAUACGGCCCAGACUCCUACGGGAGGCAGCAGUGGGGAAUAUUGCACAAUGGGCGGAAGCCUGAUGCAGCAACGCCGCGUGCGGGAUGACGGCCUUCGGGUUGUAAACCGCUUUCGCCUGUGACGAAGCGUGAGUGGCGGUAAUGGGUAAAGAAGCACCGGCUAACUACGU